UAAUAGCCUCUUAGCGUCCCAUUAAAUGCAUACCCUUUUUGCUUCAAAAAAUAUUUCCACUGGGACUUGAAAUUAAGCCUCGGUUUUUCUCCAUUUUUCUCCCCAGUCUCUGCAUACAGGAAGCGCCCGGCUUUCCUGCUCGGUGAUGUUUGUUAGUGAACCGGGGCCAGAGUCCAGACCAUGUUGCAUCGGCUCGAAGAAUUCAAUAACUUUUCAUCCCCUCAUUCGCGUUUGUCCUUGUGUACAGACCUGUGCAUUUUUACCCCGUGCAGAGAUUCACGUAACUUCUGCCAAAAUCAAUAUUCCGUCAAUACGAAGGACAGCCCAGUGUAUCCUCUUACAUGCACCCCCCCACCCCUGUGCCCUGGCAACCAGCGAUCUGUUCUUUGUCUUUGCACUUGUGUCCUUUUGACGAUGUUGUCUGAGUGGAACCUGCCGUCUGUGACCUACAGAGACGGGCUUUCCCACCAAACCCUGGAGACGUGUCCCGGCCGUUGUGCAAGCAGGGAUAAAACUGCUAUGGACAUUUGUGUACGUGUGCAGGUGAACGCCGGCGACGGUGUGCUUUGGGCUCCACGACACUUUGCACAUGGCAUUUGGGGCUUGGACUAAGGAUCCUUGAGUCCUGCCUGCCAUUCCUCUCAACCCGUUUUUCUCGCAAUGUGUGGUCCUCCCAUCCCUGGCCCCAUGGCUCCCCGUGUUGUUCUCCUGGAUGGAUCGAUCCUUAGAACACCUGUGUGUGACUUUCAAGAAGGACCAGAGCAUAGCCUUGCGCCGUGGGCUCCAGAAGUUUAUUCCGUCCCAUUCUGCGUGAUUCCUGACUGGACAUCUGGUAUCUAGCGACCCUCUCCCCUGUGCUGAGUGAGCAAGGCUGUGGUAGAGUAUGCCUUUCUGAAAUACGUGCACAGAAGAAGCAUUGAUCUUCUAAUGUGGUUGGAUCCACAACAGAAAUUGUGUGAUUCCUUGGAGGAAGGGUCUAGUGCCAUUUGUGAAAGGCCUGAUUCCUGAGGUCACGCGGGAAAGCAGCUCCGUCGCUCAGAAGCGUGACCCUUAUUGA
Mustela erminea (ermine) is the source of this 1057-nucleotide long non-coding RNA. RefSeq lists it as uncharacterized. The record is from RefSeq and is a predicted model, not a curated record. NCBI's taxonomy places the organism in Eukaryota, Metazoa, Chordata, Mammalia, Carnivora, Mustelidae. The transcript is spliced from 4 exons.